GACGAACGCUGGCGGCGUGCUUAACACAUGCAAGUCGAACGGAAAGGCCCCUUUGGGGGUACUCGAGUGGCGAACGGGUGAGUAACACGUGAGUAACCUGCCCUUGACUUCGGGAUAACUUCAGGAAACUGGGGCUAAUACCGGAUAGGAAUCCUUGCUGCAUGGUGGGGGUUGGAAAGCUUCGGCGGUUUUGGAUGGACUCGCGGCUUAUCAGCUUGUUGGUGGGGUAGUGGCUUACCAAGGCUUUGACGGGUAGCCGGCCUGAGAGGGCGACCGGCCACAUUGGGACUGAGAUACGGCCCAGACUCCUACGGGAGGCAGCAGUGGGGAAUAUUGCACAAUGGGCGGAAGCCUGAUGCAGCAACGCCGCGUGCGGGAUGACGGCCUUCGGGUUGUAAACCGCUUUCAGCAGGGGCGAAGCUUGUGGUGACGGUACCUGCAGAAGUAGCACCGGCUAACUACGUG
This 465-nucleotide ribosomal RNA is filed under the name uncultured bacterium. Its description in RNAcentral is "partial 16S ribosomal RNA". It matches the Rfam family "Bacterial small subunit ribosomal RNA", at positions 28 to 507 of the family's 1533-position model. The record is from RNAcentral.